This 497-nucleotide ribosomal RNA is filed under the name uncultured bacterium. Its description in RNAcentral is "partial 16S ribosomal RNA". It matches the Rfam family "Bacterial small subunit ribosomal RNA", at positions 28 to 507 of the family's 1533-position model. The record is from RNAcentral.
GAUGAACGCUGGCGGCGUGCCUAAUACAUGCAAGUCGAGCGAACAGACGAGGAGCUUGCUCCUCUGACGUUAGCGGCGGACGGGUGAGUAACACGUGGAUAACCUACCUAUAAGACUGGGAUAACUUCGGGAAACCGGAGCUAAUAACGGAUAAUAUAUUGAACCGCAUGGUUCAAUAGUGAAAGACGGCUUUGCUGUCACUUAUAGAAGGAUCCGCGCCGCAUUAGCUAGUUGGUAAGGUAACGGCUUACCAAGGCAACGAUGCGUAGCCGACCUGAGAGGGUGAUCGGCCACACUGGAACUGAGACACGGUCCAGACUCCUACGGGAGGCAGCAGUGGGGAAUCUUCCGCAAUGGGCGAAAGCCUGACGGAGCAACGCCGCGUGAGUGAUGAAGGUCUUCGGAUCGUAAAACUCUGUUAUUAGGGAAGAACAAAUUUGUAAGUAACUAUGCACGUCUUGACGGUACCUAAUCAGAAAGCCCCGGCUAACUACGUG